RNAcentral lists this ribosomal RNA (472 nucleotides) under uncultured bacterium. RNAcentral describes it as "bacterial SSU rRNA". It matches the Rfam family "Bacterial small subunit ribosomal RNA", at positions 28 to 513 of the family's 1533-position model. The record is from RNAcentral.
GACGAACGCUGGCGGCGUGCUUAACACAUGCAAGUCACGGGGGCCCGUAAGGGCAACCGGCGAACGGGUGCGUAACACGUGAGCGACCUGCCUUUCCGCGGGGGAUAGCCGGCCCAACGGCCGGGUAAUACCGCAUACGCUGCUCGGGGGGCAUCCCUCGAGUAGGAAACCUCCGGGGCGGAGAGAGGGGCUCGCGACCUAUCAGCUAGUUGGCGAGGUAACGGCUCACCAAGGCGGCGACGGGUAGCUGGCUGAGAGGAUGGCCAGCCACAUUGGGACUGAGAUACGGCCCAGACUCCUACGGGAGGCAGCAGUGGGGAAUAUUGCGCAAUGGCCUAACGGCUGACGCAGCGACGCCGCGUGUGGGAGGACGCCCCUCGGGGUGUAAACCACUGUUGCCCGGGACGAACAACCAGUUUUGACUGGUCUGACGGUACCGGGUGAGGAAGCACCGGCUAACUCCGUGCCAGCA